Molecule: long non-coding RNA, 4043 nt
Filed under: Salvia miltiorrhiza (redroot sage)
Lineage: Eukaryota; Viridiplantae; Streptophyta; Magnoliopsida; Lamiales; Lamiaceae
Description: long non-coding RNA (SMIL_LNC006215)
Source: RNAcentral
CUCUCUCUCUCUCUCUCUCUCUCUCGCCGCCCCUUCUCCGCUAAGAAUCAUCGGGAGUCGUACCCCCUCGCAGCCUCUCCAUCUCACCGUUUUUAUCCCUUGCACAUUCUUCGACAACAGAUGGCCUUAGAGGAGCCGCCGCUGCUGUUCUGCUUUCGGCCAUGUCCAACGGAGCCUUACCUUCAGUCGCGUUGCCCCGUCCUUCACCCACGCUGCCGCCUCAACGCCGCGCUGCCCCGUGUCUGCAUCGACGCUUCGCUCUGGCUCCGAUCUGAAAUCAAUUUCCAUACAGGUCUUAAUUAGCGUUGAACCCUAAUUGGCUCUAUUUUUGGUUUUGAGGAGAGAUGAGAAUGAUUGGGAUUGAGACUUUAGUUAAAUUCAAUUUGAUUUUAGUUUAAAAAAUACAAGUAAUGAAGAAAUUGAUGAAAAUCACGCAAUUUUAUACAAAUGUUCUUGAAUUCACAAUUAGAUUUAUAAAUUCACAACUUAAUGUUCUUGAAUUCACAACCAGAUUUAUGAAUUCACAAUUGAAUUAUAUGCGUUGGUUGUGAAUUCACAACCAACACUAUUUCUAGUUGUGAAUUCACGGCUAAUACUUUUUUUAGUUGUGAAUUCAAAGUUUAAAACAUGAAUUCACAACCAAUACUUGUUAUUCAGUUGUGAAUUCGAGUUUUAAAGCUCGAAUUCACAACCAAAAUAAAUCCUGGUUGUGAAUUCGCGGGUAUCUUUUAAAUUUUUAUAUGCAAGGGUAAAAUGGUAAGUGUGAGUAUUUUUUUAAAAAAUUAUCUUAGAGGGUAUUUUUUAAAUUUACUAUUCUAAAGUGGCUAUUUUCAAAACUCACUCAAACCCUAAACACUUGAUUCAUUGAGUUUAGAAUAUCAGAUAAAUGACUAUAUUCAUACAUGAUAAGUAUUAUAUUUUCUAGACGUAAUGUUUAUUUUCAUUGAAAAUAAGUAUUACUUUUCAUAUUAUUAAUUAAAAAGUACAAAAUACUAAAAAAUUUAAAAUUUAAUUUAAGUAAAAUUACAUUUUACUAUUUCUAUAAUACAAAUNCCGAGCAGUGAAACUAUCCUCGUGAAUCGAAGAACGGGAGUUAUGCAACCCCACCUCCGCGUCAUCACUAUGCCUCUCCGGCAUUGUACUAUCAUCAGCUAAAAAAUCCCCCUGAAUCACCCGAUCCUCCUCAGUCAAAGGACCAAAGGGAUUAACAUCAGUUGCCACCUUGUCAAAAGACUCUCCCUGCUAGAUUUUGUAGUCCUUUCGGGGAAGAAACCCGUAAAGUUCUUCCAGUAGGCUGCCAACUUUUCCCACGAGCCCUUGCUUUAGACCCCGCUUGCUUCUCAGUGGCAUCAUUUUUCGACUGAUUGGCAUGAUCUUUGGCUUUGCUUUUGAUACAUUUGUCCCGGCUAUGCCCCGUAAUUCUGCAUGAAGAACAAUAAAGUGGUAACUGUUCAUAGUAAAAUUCAACAAAAAUAGAAUUAUUGUCACACCCGAUGGUCAUAGAAUCUUGAAGAGGAAGAGCCAAAUCAACUUCAACGAGAAUUCUUGCAAAAUGUCCGACUUCUUUAUACACAGACGGACCAUCAAACCGAAUCGGAAGACCGAUAGCUCUGCCUAUAGCUGAGAAAACCUCAGGAUGCCAUAACUCAAUCGGCAGAUAGUAUAGCCGCACCCAAACUUGACAUAGCGAUGAAAUCUCUUUGUAGGGAUCAAAGAAACGUGUCCAUUCCCGGAGUCGAAAAGCGCCCUGCGACAAAUCCCAACCAUUGCGCUGCUUAGCUAUUGCCUUAUCCUCUGCAGAACUGAAAUUAAUAAUAUAGAAACCCUUGGCCAUAGGUGUUAGCGUCCAGCAACCUUUAAUGCUCCAAUGAUGUUGUAGUUCUUCCUUAAGACCGAAAGUAGUUCUCGGUUUGUCCCCUUUUUGAAGCAACAGUCGCCCAAUGAGAGCAUGAUCAAAAGUUUCCACUUGUUUCUUGUAGAAUUCAGCAGGGAUGUCCAAGUUGUAUUUACUGCCAAUCUUCUCCGAAUUCAAAGCCGCAAACUUGUUGGCCAAGAUAUCAGGCUUGCGGGCUGAACGAGGACGGACCAUAGCAGCGUACGACGCCUUGAUUUUGCCUUCCGAAGCCGCUACCUCAGGGAGUCCCGUAGGCAGCUGCUCAGCUGCGAGAACUUGUUGGUCAGUAGCAGAAUUUCCCGCAUUGAGAAGAGCACGUGCAGUAGGUAAAGAAUUAACAUCAACGUGAUUUUGAUUCUCAGCGGUAGAAAUUAAAAACUGUGUUUCUGCAGCCUCCUGCUGCUUAGUGUUCGUUGGAGGAGACCUAAAGUUAUUUGAAAUAGGAGGGAGAUUGAGUGCCGACCGGUCGGCAGAACCUGCCAUCGCCGGCACUAAUUGGCGAUCUCAACUUCCAGAGCAGCAGCAACAGCGGCGAAGUCCAACGAUCCAGACUGUGGCAGCUGUAAACUCGUCGGCUUCGUCUGAACGAAGCAGGAGUCCUACGAUCCAGAUCUUUGGAUCCACGCAGACGCCGAUCUAGCGCAGCAAGCAGCCCUCCCCACCGUCGGAGCGAGGCAGCGGCCGGCGAGAUCCAGUGACGUCGGAGCGAAGACAGCAACGACAGCGUCAAGCAGUGGCUUCCUUGAGGCGGCGUCCGGUGAGUGUUUGAGACUUGAGAGUGAAUAUUCGACGGGUGAAGAAGCCGCAGACCGGAGGCUGGAGGUGGUGCCGGGUCGGUGGCGACCGGCGGCAGGUGCAGAGGGGAACGGCGCACAAAACGCUGACCCUAAAAUCUCAUUUUUCGGAGAGGGAGAACGCUCCUGUACUGUUCAUAUAAGAGAGAGAAUUUUCCCCUUAGACACUAAACCUUAAACACUUGAUUGAUUGAGUUUAGAAUAUCAAAUAAAUGACUAUAUACAUUAUAAGUAUUACAUUUUCUAGACGUAAUGUUUACUUUCAUUGAAAAUAUGUAUUACUUUUCAUAUUAUUAAUUAAAGAGUGCAAAAUACUAAGAAAUUGUAAAUUUAAUUUAAGAAAACAAAAUUUUACAUUUCAUGAUACAAAUAUUUACUUUCAAUCAAUAUAAGAUAUAUACAUUUGUUAAUUAGCACAAAGUACAUUCAUAUUAGUAUAAGGAUUUAAUUUAAUUUAAUAUAAAGUAUUAUAUUUUCUAAACCCUAAACACUAAAUUAUAAACCCUAAAUAUUAAACACUAAACCCGAAGUACUUGAUUGAUUGAAUUUAGAAAUUCAGAUAAUUAUUACUUUUGAUUACACUAAUAAUUAUUUUAUCAAAUAACUAAAAGUACAAAUUCUCAUAAAUAAAAGUAGCAGUUAUCGCGAACCAAUGUAAUAAUUUAGAAACAUUACAUUAUUGCGUCAUAUCAAUAGUUACUUUUCCUUACGUCAUAAUGAGUUUUAAAGAAUAAAAAUAUCAUUACGUCAUAUCAAUACUUGAUUACAUUACAAGGUCUAACGAGUAAAAAUAUCACGUAACUAGGAUCAACCGUUGUUGAUACGUUGAAUGACUGCACGACAAAAAUUCAGAAAUCCACCAUUUAUCUCCAUCGUUAAUUAGUAGCACAAUCAUAAUACUCUCUUAAUGCCAAGUAAACCAACACUUCCAACAAUAACAACUCGGGUCCCAAACAAUUUCUAAUGCACCAAAUUAGCAUAAUUUUGCCUCAUAACAUAUGGAGUAGCUCUUCCCACUCCAAAAGGCAAAAACAAAUGUUCUCUGUGCACCAAUUUAUUGAACACUUAGGAUGCAUGAUAGUAAAGCAUACUAAACUUGAUGUAGAGAGAUGGAGAAACAAGCGGAAAUAGACAUAUCGUCGCCACCGACUAGAGUGAGAGUCCAGCGACGAGCGGCGGGAGGCGAGGGCGGCGCGAGAGUUGGAGAAGCGGCGGAGGGAGAAGGAGAGCAAACCCUAACGAAGAGAGAGCGGCGGAAGAGAGGAGACGAAGGAGAGCGAACCCAAAAUGAGGAAAAAAAUGGAAUAAAAAUCUUUUAUAUUUUAUGUAAUUGGAUCGGGCCGGGCGGACGUCCG